Molecule: ribosomal RNA, 477 nt
Filed under: uncultured bacterium
Lineage: Bacteria
Description: partial 16S ribosomal RNA
Rfam family: Bacterial small subunit ribosomal RNA
Source: RNAcentral
GAUGAACGCUGGCGGCGUGCCUAAUACAUGCAAGUCGAGCGGAAGGACGAGAAGCUUGCUUCUCUGAUGUUAGCGGAGGACGGGAGAGUCACGCGUGGAUCCCCUCCCUAUCAGUCUGGGAUCACUUCGGGACUCCGGCGAUAAUCCCGGAUAAUCUCUUGCACCGCAUGGUUCAAUGGUGAAAGACGGUCUUGCCGGCGGUUCGGGAUGGAUAUGCGCUGUAUCAGCUUGUUGGUGCGGUAGUGGCUUACCACGGCAACGCUGGGUAGCCGGCCUGAGAGGGUGAACGGCGACAUUGGCACUGAGGGACGGCCCAGACUCGUAAGGGAGGCAACAGUGGGGAAUCUUGCACAAUGGGCGGAAGCGUGAUGAAGCAACGCCGCGUGCGGGAUAACGGCUUUCGGGUUGUAAACCGCUUUCGCAUGUGACGAAGCGUGAGUGACGGUAAUGGGUAAAGAAGCCCCAGCUAACUACGUG